RNAcentral lists this ribosomal RNA (497 nucleotides) under uncultured bacterium. Its description in RNAcentral is "partial 16S ribosomal RNA". It matches the Rfam family "Bacterial small subunit ribosomal RNA", at positions 28 to 507 of the family's 1533-position model. The record is from RNAcentral.
GAUGAACGCUGGCGGCGUGCCUAAUACAUGCAAGUCGAGCGAACAGACGAGGAGCUUGCUCCGCUGACGUUAGCGGCGGACGGGUGAGUAACACGUGGAUAACCUACCUAUAAGACUGGGAUAACUUCGGGAAACCGGAGCUAAUACCGGAGAAUAUAUUGAACCGCAUGGUUCAAUAGUGAAAGACGGUUGUGCUGGCACUUAUAGAGGGAUCCGCGCCGCAUUAGCUAGUUGGUAAGGUAACGGCUUACCAAGGCAACGAUGCGUAGCCGACCUGAGAGAGUGAUCGCCCACACUGGAACUUGGACACGGUCCAGACUCCUACGGGACGCAGCAGUCGGCAAUCUUCCGCAAUGGGCGAAAGCCUGACGGAGCAACGCCGCGUGAGUGAUGAAGGUCUUCGGAUCGUGAAACUCUGUUAUUAGGGAAGAACAACUUUGUAAGUAGCUGUGCCCGUCUUGACGGUACCUAAUCAGAAAGCCCCGGCUAACUACGUG